Molecule: long non-coding RNA, 214 nt
Filed under: Elaeis guineensis (African oil palm)
Lineage: Eukaryota; Viridiplantae; Streptophyta; Magnoliopsida; Arecales; Arecaceae
Description: long non-coding RNA (EGUI_LNC055170)
Source: RNAcentral
UUCAGUCUACAGCACCAAUGGCACUCAAUGAUAGUUAACUUGUCAGCAACCUCGAAAACAUCCAAACUUCUCCCAGAUUGCAGAGAUAGGAGCCAUUCCACUCCAUCAGACAUCCCAACCGAGCUUCAGCCAUCAGGUCCGAACUCUCUGGCAAGUCACGAUAAUGGCCACUACCCCACUCUACUCUCUGUAACAGAUUUUGCAUGGCCCCACC